GAUGAACGCUAGCGGCAGGCUUAACACAUGCAAGUCGAACGGUAACAUAGGAGCUUGCUCCUGAUGACGAGUGGCGGACGGGUGCGUAACGCGUAUGCAACCUACCCUUAACAGGGGGAUAGUCUUUAGAAAUGAAGUUUAAUACCCCAUAACACUAUUUUAUGGCAUCGUAGAAUAGUUAAAGAAAUUCGGUUAAGGAUGGGCAUGCGUUCUAUUAGCUAGUUGGUGAGGUAACGGCUCACCAAGGCGAUGAUAGAUAGGGGUUCUGAGAGGAAUACCCCCCACACUGGUACUGAGACACGGACCAGACUCCUACGGGAGGCAGCAGUGAGGAAUAUUGGUCAAUGGAGGCAACUCUGAACCAGCCAUGCCGCGUGCAGGAUGACUGCCCUAUGGGUUGUAAACUGCUUUUAUACAGGAAGAAAUGUGCUACGUGUAGUGCUCUGACAUUACUGUAAGAAUAAGGACCGGCUAACUCCGUGCCAGCAGCC
Molecule: ribosomal RNA, 491 nt
Filed under: uncultured bacterium
Lineage: Bacteria
Description: bacterial SSU rRNA
Rfam family: Bacterial small subunit ribosomal RNA
Source: RNAcentral